This is an RNA transcript of Capsicum annuum, 1175 nucleotides long. RefSeq lists it as uncharacterized. Lineage: Eukaryota; Viridiplantae; Streptophyta; Magnoliopsida; Solanales; Solanaceae. The transcript is spliced from 4 exons. The record is from RefSeq and is a predicted model, not a curated record.
UCCUCUUACAGUUUUUGAAACAACAAAUCAUUAUGAUUAUGAUCAUACUGGUUAUACAGAUUUUGCCAUUUCUAGCGAAUGUUCGACGUGCAAAUGUCAAGACUGCAAGGUGAAACAUGAUGGAGUGAUUAAUGCUAUUAAUGCAUUAACUGCUUUUAUAAAAGAAAUAACAUCUAAGAGGGGUGUCAUUCCAUCAAAGAGGAUUUCAUAUCCAUACACUCCUCUAGAGAUCAGGUGGCUAAGAGGAGAAUGAAAGAAAUUUCCAAAGCAUCAUCAAGCAUUGAAAAAAGCAAAAUUGCAAAUCCUCUAUCUUUGUCUUGCACCUUUGAUCAAUGUACAAGGGCCACAGGAGAGCAGCACGAGCUGAAGAAGGUGGAUAUCACAGUAGAAGCUACUGCUGAACAGCAUAAUAACACAGUUGAUAAUCUAUCAACUGCUUCUAUGGAAGAAGAAAAGGUGAAACCUGCCAGUUCAGGAGAACAGAAGAAUUAUCCAUUCGAAGAGUUCAACAUCUCGGACGAGGCUCUAAAAAAACUAACAAAGUUGAUCAACGACUAUUUAGAAUAGAUUGUCGAUGGCUGUUAAAGCAUCACGUUGGCAGCACAUCGAUGCCAUUUUUUACUACCUCCGAAAGAAUGUCAAGUUGCAAACACAAGAACAAUACAAAUACACGACAGACAAUUAUUUUUACAAAGUUUACAUCAAUAUGGCCUACGAUAGGUUAUGUCAACAAUAACCAGAAGUUUUUCGAACUGAGGAAUGCUUAAUCAAUAUCAUCAAAGGUUUUAGCAUUUCAGUUGGCUUACCUUGACAUUUGGUCGACGAAGUGUAUAUCUCAAUCAAUUGCGGUGAUGAAUUCUAUUAGGUGUUGGUUGUUAUCAUUUUAAAAGAGAGGCGCAUCCGAGUUUAUGACUCGAUGUCGGGAAAGAGACGUUCAACACCAUCAUCCGAGAUAUAAAACUUAGCCAAAAUAUUGCCUACUUACCUUGAUAUGAGUGGUUUUUUGGAUCAAAAAGUUCGUAUUGAUUGGUUGACGAUUGAAGCAAACCAGGAUAAAAUGGGUAAUCCAUUUGAUAUAGAAUAUGUUAAAGGAAUUGUUCAACAACCCAUUAGUAGCCUGAAUCGCAGUCUUUUUGUUGCCGCUUACACCGAAUAUUUAAGCGAUGGAUUACAAG